UUAACGCUGGCGGCGUGCCUAACACAUGCAAGUCGAGCGAGGAGUACCAGAAUAUCGGGCUCCUAGCGGCAGACGGGUGAGUAACACGUAAACAAUCUGCCCUCGAAUGGAAGACGACUUGACGAAAGUCGAGCUAAUACUCCAUACAAUCCUCUUGAGGCAUCUCAAGGGGAUGAAAGGCCCGCAAGGGUUGUUCGAGGAGGAGUUUGCGGCCUAUCAGCUAGUUGGCGGUGUAAUAGACCACCAAGGCUAUGACGGGUAGCCGAUCUAAAAGGAUGACCGGCCACAAGGGCACUGAGACACGGGCCCUACUCCUACGGGAGGCAGCAGUGGGGAAUUUUGGACAAUGGACGAAAGUCUGAUCCAGCGACGCCGCGUGAAGGACGAAGGUUUUCGGAUCGUAAACUUCUUUUACAGGGGACGAAAGCUCGCAAGAGUUUGACGGUACUCUGUGAAUAAGCCACGGCUAACUACGUGCCAGCAGCCGCGGUAAUACGUAGGUGGCGAGCGUUACUCGGAAUUACUAGGCGUAAAGCGAGUGUAGGCGGGAGCUUAAGUCAGCUGUUAAAUCUCAUGGCUCAACCAUGAACAGCCGGCUGAUACUGGGCUUCUUGAAUUCGGUAGAGGAAACUGGAAUUCCAGGUGUAGCGGUGAAAUGCGUAGAUAUCUGGAAGAACGCCAAAGGCGAAGGCAGGUUUCUGGGCCGCAAUUGACGCUGAGACUCGAAAGCUAGGGGAGCAAACAGGAUUAGAUACCCUGGUAGUCCUAGCCGUAAACGAUGUAGACCAGGUGUGGGAGGUAUCGACCCCUUCCGUGCCGACGCUAACGCAUUAGUC
RNAcentral lists this ribosomal RNA (836 nucleotides) under uncultured bacterium. Its description in RNAcentral is "bacterial SSU rRNA". It matches the Rfam family "Bacterial small subunit ribosomal RNA", at positions 30 to 866 of the family's 1533-position model. The record is from RNAcentral.